Long non-coding RNA from Parambassis ranga (Indian glassy fish), 3894 nucleotides. Lineage: Eukaryota; Metazoa; Chordata; Actinopteri; Ambassidae. The record is from Ensembl.
GAAUUUCAUUCAGCCUGCUUAUGUAACAUGCAUGUCCGUUUUUCGUUCAGAGCUGAGGGCCGGCGAUGGUCUCUGGCCUCCCUGCCCUCGUCUGGCUAUGGAACCAAUCCACCGAGCUCCACUGUCUCGUCCUCUUCAUCAUCCCAGGAGCGUCUUCAUCAGCUUCCCUACCAGCCAACACAAGAUGAACUGCACUUCCUCUUCAAACACUUCCGCAGCACAGACAGCAUGACAGAUGAGGAUGGACGCCCCUCGCCUGUCAUACGACCUCGGUCCCGCAGCCUCAGCCCUGGGCGUUCAAGUGUCUCCUUCGAUAAUGAGAUAGUCAUGAUGAACCACGUUUACAGAGAGCGUUUUCCAAAGGCCACAGCCCAGAUGGAGGAACGCUUGUUAGAGAUAGUCACCCACUAUUCUCCAGACAGCUCCCUCCCGCUGCCUGACGGGGUACUGGGCUUCAUCCAGCACCAGUUGGUGGAGCUGGUCAGAGACUGUCUGGAUAAGUCUCAGAAAGGUCUGGUUACUUCCCGCUACUUUGCUGAGCUGCAGGAAAAGCUGGAAAAGCUGUUUCAUGAGGCCUACGAGCGCUCUGAAAGCGAGGAGGUAACUGUCAUCACCCAGCUGGUUAGGAAGAUCCUCAUCAUAAUCUCUCGGCCGGCUCGCCUCCUUGAAUGUCUGGAGUUUGACCCGGAAGAGUUUUAUCACCUACUUGAAGCAGCAGAGGGUCAUGCCAAAGUCGGCCAGGGAAUUAAGACGGACAUCCCGCGCUACAUCAUCAGCCAGCUCGGCCUGACGCGGGACCUGAAACUUUUUACUAUUAGGUUUAAAGAUGGUAGGUCUAAUGUAGGUUGCGUGAUGUUCAACAGGGCCGUGUAUCUGGUCCGUCACAAGGAGACUCGUCAGCGAUUUGCCAUGAAAAAGAUAAAUCGUCAGAACCUGGUGCUAAGGAAUCAGAUUCAGCAGGCAUUCGUGGAGCGGGACAUCCUAACCUUUGCUGAGAACCCUUUUGUUGUCUCCAUGUUCUGCUCUUUUGAGACACGGCGUCAUCUUUGCAUGGUCAUGGAGUAUGUAGAAGGUAAACAAAAGCUUUUUUUCUCACAGAUUACACAUACAUAUAUAAUCUUUUUUUGUCUUUUGCCACUUGACAGUUUGCUGAUAACCUCCAUGGGUCACAUCAAGCUGACAGAUUUUGGCCUGUCUAAAAUUGGACUGAUGAACAUGACCACCAACCUGUACGAAGGUCACAUUGAGAAAGACACAAGAGAAUUUGUUGACAAACAGGUAUGUGGCACUCCAGAGUACAUUGCUCCAGAGGUGAUCCUUAGGCAGGGCUAUGGGAAGCCAGUGGACUGGUGGGCAAUGGGGGUCAUUCUUUAUGAGUUUCUGGUUGGCUGUGUUCCAUUUUUUGGAGACACCCCUGAAGAGCUUUUUGGACAAGUUGUUAGUGAUGAAAUAAUUUGGCCAGAAGGAGACGAUGCCCUACCUACUGAUGCACAGGACCUGAUUACUCGUCUGCUGAGGCAGAACCCUUUAGACCGAAUUGGAACAGGUGGAGCCUCAGAGGUGAAGCAGCAUCCUUUCUUCCUGGGUUUAGACUGGAAUGGACUUCUCCGACAGAAAGCAGAGUUCAUCCCUCAGCUGGAGGCGGAGGAUGACACCAGCUAUUUUGACACUCGGUCAGAACGCUACCAUCAUUUGGCAUCUGAUGAGGACGAAGAAACCAAUGAUGAAGAGUCUUCCCUAGAAAUUAGACAGUUUGCUUCCUGGUCACAUCGCUUCAGUAAGGUUUACAGCAGCACAGAACAUCUGGCAACACCUUCCAACUUGAGCUUCUCAUCAGACCGCAGUCACAGUGAGGACAAGGAGGACCGCACAGAUACAGGAGGACAAGGCCCCUCCUCGAGCCCAGCAGAAAGGAAUGUUGAGCCCAGAAAUUCUGGACCUGAGGUGGUGGUGUCAAACCUUCGGAGAAUCAGAAUUCGGAGCAACAGCACUGGGGCUAAACACUCAUCCCCUAAGGACCCAGCAGGCCCUCGGCGCUUCGGUAACCAGCUGGAAACACCAGACAGGCAGAGGCUUCCCUGUGGAGGAAAGGUUCCAAAGUCAGCCUCUGUCUCUGCAUUGUCUCUCAUCAUUACUACAGAUGACUCUCCCAGUGGCCUCCAGCCCAGUCCCAUUUCGCCACGUUCACUUUCUUCCAACCCCUCAUCUCGUGACUCGUCCCCUAACCGAGAUCUGUUCUUCAGCCCCGGCAGCCUCAGGCCACCAAUCGUCAUCCACACCUCAGGGAAGAAGUACGGCUUCACCCUGCAGGCCAUCCGGGUCUACAUGGGUGACAGUGAUGUGUACACUGUGCAUCAUAUGGUGUCGAGUGUGGAGGAGGGCAGCCCAGCUCACCAGGCAGGUCUCUGCACUGGAGACCUCAUCACCCACGUGAACGGAGAGUCUGUCCAAGGCCUGGUCCACCCAGAGAUGAUAGAACUGCUACUGAAGAGUGGCAGCAAGGUGGCUCUGCAGACCAUAGCACUGGAGAACACGUCAAUCAAAGUUGGCCCAGCUCGAAAAACCAAACACAAAGGCAAGAUGGCACGUCGCAGCAAGAAGAGCAAGAGGAGAGAUAAUUACGACAGUUGCUCAUCAUUAUUUAAGUUAUCCAAGCAGAGUACAGUGAUGCACAGCAGUCGCAGCUUCUCCUCAGGCCUCCAUCACUCAGUUUCCUCCAGUGAGAGUCUUCCAGGCUCCCCGACACACAGCCUCUCCCCUGGUCCUUCCACACCCUGUCGGAGCCCUGCACCUGACCAUCAGGGCUACAACACUCCUUGCUCUCCUCAGAGCACAUCUCCUUGCUCCAGCUCUCCUAGCUCCCCUGCUGCACACAUCCGGCCCAGCUCGCUCCAUGGCCUGGGAUCCAAACUCAGCACGCAACGCUACACCAAGGUUGGCCGUCGGAAGUCGACCAGUAACAUCCCUCCAUCCCCGUUGGCCUGCAACUCCUCCUCAUCUUCUAACCAGCCUCUUUCCCCAGCCUGGCAGCCAGGCAGUGGGGAGCGCUCACCGUCCCCACUUCCAGGCUUUGCCAAAACUCUUCACACCUUCCAUGGCAAAACCCUGUCACCACCCACCAUUGUUAGACAUGUUGUUCGGCCCCGCAGUGCUGAACCACCCCGGUCUCCACUGCUCAAGAGGGUGCAGUCAGCUGAGAAGCUGUCUGGAGUUUAUCAUGUUGACAAGAAGUCAUACGCUCCCCGCAGACACACACUGGAAGUGCCCUUUUACUGUGAAGGUGACCUGCUGGGUGACUCCGAGGUAGAGGGGGCUUUUGGGUGCUCCUACAUUGGGGCUGACCACACCAGACUGGGGUGCUACAUAAGCAGUCAAAGGAUAGAACGGUCAGAGCAGCUAGUUGUGAUGCGGAAGCUCAACCUAUCAGAGCGGCGAGACUCCUUUAAGAAGCAAGAGGCAGUGCAGGAGGUGAGCUUUGAUGAGCCAGAGGAGAAAAAUGGCACCACAGUGACCACCGCAGCCCCAGGAGCCCAAACACAGUGUCAGCAGCAGCACAGGAUAGCCUGGAUGGCCACUCGACCCCAGAGCAGCCAGGAGGUGGAGCUGGAAGUCCCGGUGGUGAGGAGGUUUACAUUGGUGCCCCAAAUCGCCGUGCAGGGCUCAACAGAAAGUGAGGAGCAGGAUGAGUGGGAGCCAUGCUCAGAUGGAGAGGAAUCCACUGAUAGGCCUGAGCUGGAGGUGAGCAUCACUUCAAUUCAGCAGCAGCAAACAGGACAUCCUCUUGCUGACAGCAGCUGCAGUGAGGCAGAAACCACUUCCUCUGGUCCUGCACCAGCAUCAGAGAAACCUGAGUGCAGAGAGGAAAUGCCCCAAAAAGGGCCUUUGAGAAAAUGA